This 411-nucleotide ribosomal RNA is filed under the name Triticum aestivum (bread wheat). RNAcentral's name for it is "partial small subunit ribosomal RNA". Lineage: Eukaryota; Viridiplantae; Streptophyta; Magnoliopsida; Poales; Poaceae. The record is from RNAcentral.
AUGCCUGACCAGAACAAGGAGCCAACCUUGCUGAUCCCAGAUUCGAAGCACACCUCUUCGGAUCACCACACAUGCAUCGCUCUCAUCGAGCUGAGCAAUGCUAAUGAUGUUCUUCAGCCGUGGGAUGUAGUAGACAACGCCAAGGACCUUGUGUUCGUCGUUCUUGCCAACAAAGAUGAUGGUGUCGAUGCCCUUGAUUUCAACGACAGAUUCAUCGCUAAAUUUGAAGUGUCGGUGACAGUUCGGUCAAUUUCAGCGAAGAAUGUGGCCCGUCGUAUGGUUCGUGGCGCCGGUGUCGAGGUGCCAGCCCGCGCUUUGCUCAUCUUCACUCCUUGUACCGAGGUAGGCUUUCACCUUCAGCUCAUUGAUGUGAAGAGUGAUGCUAUUAUGCACCACUAUAGCUGGGGCUAG